AGGAAUCUGCCCGGUAGUGGGGGAUAACUUGAGGAAACUCAAGCUAAUACCGCAUACGCCCCAAGGGGGAAAGCAGGGGAUCUUCGGACCUUGCGCUAUCGGAUGAGCCUAUGUCGGAUUAGCUAGUUGGUGAGGUAAUGGCUCACCAAGGCCGCGAUCCGUAGCUGGUCUGAGAGGAUGAUCAGCCACAUCGGGACUGAGACACGGCCCGAACUCCUACGGGAGGCAGCAGUGGGGAAUAUUGGACAAUGGGCGAAAGCCUGAUCCAGCCAUGCCGCGUGUGUGAAGAAGGCCUUCGGGUUGUAAAGCACUUUCAGCGAGGAAGAACGCUUGUGGGUUAAUACCCCGCAAGAAGGACAUCACUCGCAGAAGAAGCACCGGCUAACUCCGUGCCAGCAGCCGCGGUAAUACGGAGGGUGCAAGCGUUAAUCGGAAUUACUGGGCGUAAAGCGCGCGUAGGCGGCUUGAUAAGCCGGUUGUGAAAGCCCCGGGCUCAACCUGGGAACGGCAUCCGGAACUGUCAGGCUAGAGUGCAGGAGAGGAAGGUAGAAUUCCCGGUG
Molecule: ribosomal RNA, 560 nt
Filed under: Halomonas sp. NH89-49
Lineage: Bacteria; Pseudomonadati; Pseudomonadota; Gammaproteobacteria; Oceanospirillales; Halomonadaceae
Description: bacterial SSU rRNA
Rfam family: Bacterial small subunit ribosomal RNA
Source: RNAcentral